UAGGAAUAAAAAAUUUGAGACAUACAACAUCGAAAUGGUGCCUGAAGUAGUGUCAAAGACAGUGGCACGGCGAGUUAAUGUUUCAAAUUGGUUGUUGAAGAAUGUGAGGCAAGAUGAGUUUGUUGUGAUGAAGGCAGAAGCAGAAGUGGUUGAGGAGAUGAUAAGGAAGAGGACUAUCGAUUUGGUGGACGAACUAUUUCUACAGUGCCAGAACCAGUGGCAGAAUGGUGAAGAGAAGAAGAGCAAGAGGGCUUAUUGGGAGU
This 263-nucleotide unclassified non-coding RNA is filed under the name Hevea brasiliensis (rubber tree). The record is from RNAcentral. Lineage: Eukaryota; Viridiplantae; Streptophyta; Magnoliopsida; Malpighiales; Euphorbiaceae.